UGGUCAAUAUUUCAGCAAAAUAGAGAAUAAUAGCAUCUCCGAUUGGUUUUAUAUUGAGAUUUAUAUAGCUAAUUAUAAGAACAUCUUUAAAUACUGGGGAAAUCUCUUCACUGCCUGAGUAUCAGACAGAGAAGGGA
Long non-coding RNA from Dipodomys spectabilis (banner-tailed kangaroo rat), 137 nucleotides. RefSeq lists it as uncharacterized. The transcript has 4 exons. NCBI's taxonomy places the organism in Eukaryota, Metazoa, Chordata, Mammalia, Rodentia, Heteromyidae. The record is from RefSeq and is a predicted model, not a curated record.